AGAGUUUGAUCCUGGCUCAGAGCGAACGUUGGAGGGAUGUUUUAAGCAUGCAAGUCGAGCGGUAACAGAGGAGCUUGCUCCUGCUGACGAGCGGCGAACUGGUGAGUAACGCGUAGAUAUCUACCUUAUAGACUGAGAUAGCCAUUGGAAACAAUGAUUAAUACCGGAUAUAGCCGAAAGGUGAAAGGCGCGAUUUGCGUCACUGUGAGAUGAGUCUGCGACCCAUUAGCUAGAUGGCGGGGUAAAAGCCCACCAUGGCGACGAUGGGUAGCCGGCCUGAGAGGGUGAACGGCCACAUCGGGACUGAGAUACGGCCCGGACUCCUACGGGAGGCAGCAGCUAAGAAUAUUCCGCAAUGGACGAAAGUCUGACGGAGCAAUCCCUCGUGAGCGAUGAAGGCCUUCGGGUUGUAAAGCUCUUUCGUCAGGGAAGAAUAAGUGGUGUAGGAAAUGACAUCAUGAUGACUGUACCUGGAGAAGAAGCACCGACUAAAUACGUGCCAGCAGUCGCGGUAAUACGUAUGGUGCAAACGUUGCUCGGAAUUACUGGGCGUAAAGGGUGCGCAGGCGGCUAGAUAAGUUAGUGGUGAAAACCUGGUGCUCAACACCAGGCCUGCCAAUAAUACUGUUUAGCUAGAGUCGAAAUAGAGGCAAUGGGAAUUCCUAGUGUAGGAGUGAAAUCUGUAGAUAUUAGGAGGAACACCAAUGGCGAAGGCAAAUUGCUGGGUAUCGACUGACGCUAAUGCACGAAAGCUAGGGGAGCGAACGGGAUUAGAGACCCCGGUAGUCCUAGCCGUAAACUAUGUUCACUAGAUUUAUGGUAUUUCCAAAUACUGUGGAUCAAAGCUAACGCGUUAAGUGAACCGCCUGGGGAGUAUGCGCGCAAGCGUGAAACUCAAAGGAAUUGACGGGGGCUCGCACAAGCGGUGGAGCAUGUGGUUUAAUUCGAUGAUAAGCGAAGAACCUUACCUGGGCUUGAACUUAUAUUGACAGCUGAUGAAAGUCAGUUUUCCUUCGGGACAAUAUGAGAGGUGCUGCAUGGCUGUCGUCAGCUCGUGUCGUGAGAUGUUGGGUUAAGUCCCGCAACGAGCGCAACCCUUGUCCUAUGUUGCUAACCAUUUUAAUGGAGCACUCUUAGGAGACUGCCGAGGUUAACUCGGAGGAAGGCGAGGAUGACGUCAAGUCCUCAUGGCCCUUAUGUCCAGGGCUACACACGUGCUACAAUGGGGUGAACAAAGAGAUGCUAAGUCGCGAGGCCACGCAAACCUCAAAAAACACCUCUCAGUUCGGAUCGUAGUCUGCAACUCGACUACGUGAAGCUGGAAUCGCUAGUAAUCGUGGAUCAGCAUGCCACGGUGAAUACGUUCUCGAGCCUUGUACACACCGCCCGUCACACCACCCGAGUUGAUUCUACCUGAAGUCGAUACAACACAGUAACGCCGAGGGUAGGGUUGAUAAGGAGGGUGAAGUCGUAACAAGGCG
RNAcentral lists this ribosomal RNA (1481 nucleotides) under metagenome. Its description in RNAcentral is "bacterial SSU rRNA". It matches the Rfam family "Bacterial small subunit ribosomal RNA". The record is from RNAcentral.